AGCAGUCGCCGCGGUAAUACGUAGGCAGCGAGCGUCGUUCGGAAUUACUGGGCGUAAAGAGUGUGUAGGCGGUGCUAUAAGUUCGGUGUGAAAUCUCCUGGCUCAACCUGGGAACUGCAUCCAAAGCUGGCAGGCCAGAGUAGGGCAGAGGGUGGUGGAAUUUCCUGUGUAGCGGUGAAAUGCGUAGAUAUAGGAAGGAACACCAGUGGCGAAGGCGACCACCUGGGCUCAUACUGACACUGAGGUGCGAAAGCGUGGGGAGCAAACAGGAUUAGAUACCCCAGUAGUCCCUGUCUCUUAUAC
This 303-nucleotide ribosomal RNA is filed under the name uncultured bacterium. RNAcentral describes it as "partial 16S ribosomal RNA". It matches the Rfam family "Bacterial small subunit ribosomal RNA", at positions 507 to 807 of the family's 1533-position model. The record is from RNAcentral.